UCUCAGGGUAAGGUACGUGGGAAGAAGGGAGAUACUGCACUCCCAGACAAUCGUCCUGCAAUCACAGCCUGCCGUAUCUAUGUAAAGUUAAUAAGUAAGAUUUAAGCAGGCAGGUCCCAUCAUUGCAAAGCAGCUAGAAAGGGUAAAAGUGCCAGUGGGCAGGCCGUGCAUCCCUCUGGAAGACUGGAAAAGCAAAGGAGGAGGACACCUGGGGCAGCUCCUCGAGGAAGACUCCGUGGAGCCAAGAAGUAAACAGUCUUCGUAUCCAGAUGCACUGGGUUAAGUGUGACCGAAGCACACGGAACACCUGCUUUGACAGAGCACCCCAGCACACCUGCGGUUUUACGAGGCCGAUAAAGGGGGCUGUGAAGUCACAGGGGCAAUGUCCUGCUAUUCACAUAGAGCUUUCCUCUGGGAGUGGUGCUUUGUGCCCUCGUGUCCAUUUCUGAUUGAGCCUGUCACCUAAAGGAAAAGUGGAGAAGGGUCUUCGAGGAGGCGCAGGAGAGCUCCACCACAUAGAGGUCCCAAGCAUCUGGAAACCAAGACUGUCCUCCUUCGAGCAGGGGUGGCAUUGUCUUGGCUCCAUAGUUCCUAAGGACAUAUAUGGCUCUGUUUUGUUCCUUCAACGUACGUCCAAAAGCCAGUAUCAAAUGUCCUUCCUGAAGACUGGAUGAACUCAGGUCAACUGUAACAAAACAGUCAAUGGCCAGCAGUUCACGACACAUUUGUCACUCAUGGUUCUGGAGUCUGGGGAGCCCUCAGUCAAGGAUACUGACCACGGUUACAGAAAAAGAAUCUUUCAGAGACAUAUAUAUCUACCUAUCGAUACACAUUCAGCCCCCAACAGCAGCAGGGAAUUGCAGCGCCUCUUAAUUACCCAGGAAGUGACAGGGUCAAGAGGUGUCUGCAAGCUGCCUUGUGGUUCUGGGCAUUGAUUUCUCGACAUUGUCGCUGCUGGAGUGCAGAGCCACAGCCGCGUGGGGUUUUGUCCACUGUUUAAAUUUCUCCCUUUCUUCCUUCCCUCCCUCACUCAUUUUGCUUUUGAAUUUGAAAAGAAACUUCUGGCACAUUGAGCGUAGACUGUAAAUUCAUAAAGGCAGGAGAUCUUUGAGGUUGACUGACCUGCCAUAAUUACCACUUGGGCACAGAAGAGGAGGCCACAGACUGGAGGAGACGCCCUCUCUGGUCCCCACCACCACCUUCCCUGUGCCUCUCUUUACUUCCUUCUUAUUAUGUUAGGUUCUUCCAAAGGGAAAAAAAAAUGACAAUUAAAAAAAAUGAA
Molecule: long non-coding RNA, 1282 nt
Organism: Psammomys obesus (fat sand rat)
Lineage: Eukaryota; Metazoa; Chordata; Mammalia; Rodentia; Muridae
Exons: 5
Source: RefSeq, a predicted model, not a curated record